Molecule: unclassified non-coding RNA, 226 nt
Filed under: Hevea brasiliensis (rubber tree)
Lineage: Eukaryota; Viridiplantae; Streptophyta; Magnoliopsida; Malpighiales; Euphorbiaceae
Source: RNAcentral
CCGGAGAAAACCUUUGCAUUCAAUUAGAUACCAAAAGGAAAAUUUAUUGGCCAACUAAAAAUCAAUCAGUUUCGGUUUCUGUUUCCUUUUCUCAUUGAAUCCGAAUCCAACUAAAAAUCAUCGAAUUUAUUUUUGUCUACUCAAGUGAAAAUGAUUUCACAACAACCGUAGUACCGCAUGCUCUGUUCUUCCAUGACCAAACAUGUCUUUCUUCUUCCUCUCUCUC